GGUUUAGUGGAAGAAGCCCUUCCUUUUACAGAAGCAGCUGGCGAGCCCAGCUCAGGGAAGCUUAGUCUGCUGCCCACAGGGCUUCUCAGUCAGGGCUCCCUCCCUGCUUCCUUCGCAGCCUCUCCCUGGGCCCUGCUUUAGUCUCUGGUGAAGAAGCCCCAGCAUAAGUAGGAGACCAAUCAGGGAACAAAAGAGCAAAGGCUUGCAGGGAUGUGGGGCCACAUCUUUCUGACCAAAGGUAAACGAUAGGGCUUUCUGGCCCAGUGCUGUUCACUCUGUGUCCUUCUCCAGCCUCCCCAGGGCGGCCCCAGGUUCCAUCAGCCCAGAGGUAGCUUCUCAGAGCCCCUUGUUCCUUCCUGCAGACGCCACUAUCAGGAGCAGGUUUCCAACUCCCUGCAGGCAGUAUACCUCUCCUUAAAUGCAGGUUCUUGCUGGGAACAGCGUGACCUGGCAUCCUCUCGUCACUUUUUCUAGAAGUUGUACCAUUCACAAGUGGCAUUAUUUAUAUUUAUGUUGUGCUGCUAAGAGCCCUUCAUGUGCACAGACCCUGGCCAGAUGGAUGUGACUGUGUGGUGUGUCUUAGCCUAGAACCUGCAGCUUAACUCCUCUGUCAGUCACCUUUCCAGUCAGAUUUACUGGCUGAUAAUGCUCACCGUUUACCCUCUACCCCCACGAAAGGCAAACUUUGCAGUUUGCAAAGUUGUCUUAAAGUGAUGAUCUCCAAACAGGUAUGUUAGGAAAAUCUUUUCCCCCUCCUUGUUCUCCUGCCUGGCUUUUUUUCCCCUCAAAUCUCUCCCUUCCUAAAUUGUAGAACAUCAUCUCUGUUUAACACUACAUGUUUGCCUCAUGUGUUUUGGAAGUGCAGAAUCUCAAUUUAUGUCUGUUUACAGCUCUCUUUAUUCACUACUCACUGCAAGGGAGUCUGUAUCAGUUUGUUUUAUUUCAUGGCUGAUUGGAUGUUCAGGUGAGCCCUGGCAUCUACCUAGCUCAGAACACAAAGCUGCUUCUUGGUGGAAAUAAAAUUAAAAAGGCUUGACUUGAUGUACAGGAGUCGGCUCCAAGUCUGCCUUAGAAUUUAAUUUUCCAAGGUACAUUACGCAUCUCCAAGACCAUUAAGAGGAAAGGAAAGAGUACGGUUUAUAUUGAAAUCAUGGUUAAUACUUUUAGACAGUCCUGCUAGUUGCAAAGCUAUUUGCACUCACGGCAUCAGCCUGUGACAUUUCUUCCCUGUCCUUUAAUCCCCGGGUCUUUCUCUGGCCAGGGGACAUAAAUGGUGCUGAGCUGAGGUUACCAGAGUCGCGGUCGGGAGUAAUGGUGAAGUUGCCUGCUGUCAGCCAUGUUCUUUUGUUUCAAUCAAGGUGAUGCUGUGGAAGUGGUUUUGUUUUACUGAAAUUUACUGAACAAUAAAAUAUGUGACUCUGUUGUAAACCAUGUUAGUGGAUGUGUGACCAAGAGGAAAAUGAAAAACUGCCAUCCAGCGGGUCUUGAUAACUAGACAGUCCCGUGUAUGUCAUGUGCCUGUGUGCAUGUGUACGUUCUGAAUGGUACGUGUAGAAAUGCGGGUCAUGCAGGGACUCAUGAAGAUUUUGUUUUGGGUUCUGCACACGGAUCAUGUGUUAAACUUUUCCUUAAUAAAUGAGCUUUAUUUUUUAUUUUUGAGA
RNAcentral lists this long non-coding RNA (1661 nucleotides) under Bos taurus (domestic cattle). RNAcentral's name for it is "long non-coding RNA NONBTAT023502". The record is from RNAcentral. Lineage: Eukaryota; Metazoa; Chordata; Mammalia; Artiodactyla; Bovidae.